Molecule: ribosomal RNA, 253 nt
Filed under: uncultured bacterium
Lineage: Bacteria
Description: partial 16S ribosomal RNA
Rfam family: Bacterial small subunit ribosomal RNA
Source: RNAcentral
UACGGAGGAUCCGAGCGUUAUCCCGAUUUAUUGGGUUUAAAGGGAGCGUAGGUGGAUUGUUAAGUCAGUUGUGAAAGUUUGCGGCUCAACCGUAAAACUGCAGUUGAAACUGGCAGUCUUGAGUACAGUAGAGGUGGGCGGAAUUCGUGGUGUAGCGGUGAAAUGCUUAGAUAUCACGAAGAACUCCGAUUGCGAAGGCAGCUCACUGGACUGCAACUGACACUGAGGCUCGAAAGUGUGGGUAUCAAACAGG